AUUGUCCCCAAAAAAGUUGAAGACCAACCAAACACUCUCAACAACAUCGCCACCCAAAUGCUCCCUUCUCCCCAAAACAUCCCCACACAAAUCCCACAAUCCCCAUCCUAUCCCUCUCUAAACAAACCAACGGUCACUAUCAGUCCACGACCCUCCAUCUCACUGUUCCACCGCUUUCCUUCUUUCUUUCGUCCAGCUCCACUCUCUCCUCCAGUCCCAUCUCUCUCCUCAUUACCCGCGUUAAUUGGCUUGCCCAGUAACCAGUUGGCUCAUUAUUACACUACGUUACAUUUCUGCUGCCUGCUGUAUUAUACGCCGGAGAGCACCGAAUCUUUUCUCCAGUCGGUUCACAAAGAUCUUGUCUUUUUCUCUCGCGGCCUCUCGAACGCCGAAACGAGUCGUUGAAUCGUUCAGCGUUUUCUCGUUUCUUGAUUCGUGCUUCAGUUUCCGAAGAAAAUGUCGUUUCGUGAAAUGUAGAGGCAUUUUUUUACGAAAUCUGUAUUGAACUAGCAAUGCAAUUUUGAAGCUUCGAGAAAUUUCGUGUGUUCUGAUUUUUGGAAGACCAAGACUCUGAAAUGCAGCAGCGCCUUUGAUCUGUUUCAACUGGUUUCUCCUUCUCUUUGAUUCCGAGGGCUUCUGUUUUUAGGGUUAGGGUAGCAAAAGCUGUGCUGGUUUAGAAAUCGAUGUUGUUACAAACAUGCCGAGCAUUAGAGCUCCGGCUACAAAGCAAACUACAACACUCACGGUUGCUGUGAAAUGCAGGCCGUUUAGGGAGAGAGAACGUGGCCGCGACAUUGUUCGAGUAAUUGACAAUAAGGAGGUACUUGUGUUGGAUCCUGAUCUGUCAAAGGACUACCUUGAGCGCAUACAGAAUCGAACAAAGGAAAAGAAAUAUUGUUUUGAUCAUGCAUUUGAUCCUGGCUGUACUAAUUUGGAUGUCUACACGAAAUGCAUAUUGUCUGUCAUCUCUGGCGUAGUUAAUGGUCUCAAUGCUACCGUGUUUGCUUAUGGUUCUACCGGAAGUGGUAAAACAUAUACAAUGGUCGGGACACAAGAUGAUCCAGGACUCAUGGUACUCAGUUUGCAUACAAUCUUUGAUCUAAUCAAAAGGGACAAGAGCUCUGAUGAAUUUGAAGUAACCUGUUCCUAUCUUGAAGUCUACAAUGAGGUCAUCUACGAUUUGCUUGAAAAGUCAUCAGGCCAUUUGGAACUCAGAGAGGACCCGGAGCAAGGAGUAAUUGUUGCUGGGCUGAGGUGUAUCAAGGUACAAUCAGCUGAUAAGAUUCUUGAACUCUUAAACUUGGGGAAUAGCCGACGGAAAACUGAAAGCACAGAGGCUAAUGCAACAUCUUCUCGGUCACAUGCAGUGCUGGAAAUAAAAGUAAAAAGAAAACAGAAAAAUAAGUACCGGAAUCAAGUAAUGCGAGGAAAACUCGCACUUGUGGAUCUAGCUGGCAGUGAACGAGCUUCAGAAACAAACAGUGGAGGCCAAAAAUUAAGGGAUGGAGCAAAUAUUAACCGUUCACUUCUCGCCUUGGCAAACUGCAUAAAUGCACUGGGGAAACAGCAAAAGAAGGGUCUUGCUUAUGUUCCUUACCGCAAUAGCAAAUUGACACGAAUACUCAAAGAUGGUUUGAGUGGUAAUUCUCAAACGGUUAUGGUUGCUACUGUAUCCCCUGUGGACAGUCAGUAUCAUCACACUGUGAAUACCUUGAAAUAUGCUGAUCGGGCAAAGGAAAUAAAGACACACAUCCAGAAAAACAUCGGCACUAUUGAUACACAUGUAUCAGACUACCAACAAAUGAUUGACAGUCUUCAGAUUGAGGUUUGCCGAUUGAAAAAAGAACUAGCUGAAAAGGAAUCACAGCUAAGUGUCAAACCUGUUGAAAAAGCUGCAGAUGAUGAACUUUCAUGGUUGAAUAUUUUGAGCCAUGAAACCAGUGAAAAUGUUCAGGAAAGGAUAAACCUACAGAAGGCAUCAUUUGAGCUUGAGGAAACCAACCUUCGCAACCGCCUUGAACUCCAACAUCUUGAUGAUGCUAUAGCAAAAGAACAGGCUAUUGGAAAAGAUGGGGAAGUUUUAGAGGUUAUGAGAACAAGGCGGCAAGUGAUUUUGGAUAACAUCCGUGAGAAUGAUGAAGCUGGUGUCAAUUACCAUAUGGAAAUUGAAGCAAAUGAGAAGCAUCGAUGUCAACUCCAAAAUAUGAUUGAGGAGGCCAUUAGUAACAAUGGCAAUAAAACGUACUUGCGUAUUCUUAGUCAAUACAGGCUCUUGGGAAUGGCUAAUACUGAGCUUCAGUUUGAAAUGGCAAUGAGGGAUCAAGUGAUUAACAACCAACGAGAAGCACUGAGAAACAUGUGGGACUUGCUUAUGGGGUUAGGACUUGAUGAGAGACAGAUCAUGGACCUUGCAUCUAAGAAGGGAAUAACGAUAGAAGACUGGACGACAACACCCCAUCUUGGCCUUUCUGCAAGGGAGCAGUCACCAGAUUUGGCUUCCAGCAAAUAUGCUUCCUUUGGCCAUUGUCGUGGCAUGGGUCAGUCGUAUUCUAGAUCGUCUUGCACCUUUCAGCAGUCUCAAGACUUUGGUUCGAUGUCAGUGCCCCAGGGGCAUUUGGAUUUGGCUCAUUCCUUUUCCAGGGAGGAGCACCAUAGCUCCUACUACUUAUUGUCUCAUGACCAUUCCCCUUCAGCCUGUAUGAGUAUGAGGACAAGUAGUGAGCACUGGUUUGGUGGCAGGUCAAGUUUGCGGUUUGGCACUCUUGAUAAGACUCCUCAAGAUUUGCGAAAAUCAUAUCCAGUGAGGGAGAACUCAAGUUUCACCAGAUAGUAAAAUCUGCAUACCAGAUUCAUCUUUCAGUGUGGAUUUUGACAAUCAGAGAAGGAUGAAUGGAGUAGUAGUGCUUUUGAGGCAACGUCUGUACAGCGGUCCUCCUGAUGGUAUGAGUAGUAGCCAAGUAUAUUUAUAGGCCAUGGCGGUAUAGCUCAAGGUUUGGAUAUGGCCGAUUAAAACAAGGCCCUGAUAUGCUCAGUUGAAAGUACAUGGUUUCUCGAUAUACUUCUACAAGGCCAAUUUUCUUUUGGUUUCCAUAACCCUGACCCCAAAGGCCACACCCCUCCAACCUUCUGUAGCCUUGUUGUAAAUUUUUAAUUUCCACGCCUUCGCUUCCCGUGUGUAAUUUUUUUUUUACCCUCUCUUCUUUCCCUCUAUGUAGUUACACCUAGGGCAUCUGUAGGUGAAAACAUGGCAGUUGAUUUCUUUUUGGGUUACUGACUGUAUGCAAAAAAGAUGGGGGGUUUUGGAGAGGGUGGGAGGAGGAAGAAGGGAUAUAAAAGCAGUUUGUUAAAUACGUAUGUUCUGACACUUGGACUGACGGAAUGUAGUUCUAGUGCUGUGUACAUAUGUUUAUGAAAUGAUCAUGCCGUACUGAUUAUCAAGCUUGUAACCACUUUGCUUUGUGUUUUAAUUACUUCCAUUUUUUUCCAAACUUGUAAGAACUCAUCUUGUUUUGUAGAAGCGUAUCUGUUAUGGCCUGAUCAUUUUCUUGUUUAGGAAGGGUGACCAUAUUCAAGUACCAUACA
Molecule: RNA transcript, 3582 nt
Organism: Prunus dulcis (almond)
Lineage: Eukaryota; Viridiplantae; Streptophyta; Magnoliopsida; Rosales; Rosaceae
Gene name: kinesin-like protein KIN-8B
Exons: 15
Source: RefSeq, a predicted model, not a curated record